Molecule: ribosomal RNA, 270 nt
Filed under: uncultured Chlamydiales bacterium
Lineage: Bacteria; Pseudomonadati; Chlamydiota; Chlamydiia; Chlamydiales
Description: partial 16S ribosomal RNA
Rfam family: Bacterial small subunit ribosomal RNA
Source: RNAcentral
GUGGAUGAGGCAUGCAAGUCGAACGGAAUAGGGGGCGACUCCUAUUCAGUGGCGGAAGGGUUAGUAAGGCAUGGGUAACCUGCCCUUAACUUUGGGAUAACGGUUGGAAACGAUCGCUAAUACCAAAUGUGGUGAUAGAAGGCAUCUUCAUAUCAUUAAAGUGGGGGACUGUAAAAGGCCUUGCGGUUAGGGAAGGGCCCAUGUGAUAUCAGCUAGUUGGUGAGGUAACGGCUCACCAAGGCUAAGACGUCUAGGCGGAUUGAGAGAUUG